GAUGAACGCUGGCUACAGGCUUAACACAUGCAAGUCGAGGGGAAACGACGGGGAAGCUUGCUUCCCCGGGCGUCGACCGGCGCACGGGUGAGUAACGCGUAUCCAACCUGCCUCUGACUGAGGGAUAACCCGUCGAAAGUCGGCCUAAUACCUCAUGGUAUCGUCUGCGGGCAUCCAACGACGAUUAAAGAUUUCAUCGGUCAGGGAUGGGGAUGCGUCUGAUUAGCUUGUUGGCGGGGUAACGGCCCACCAAGGCUACGAUCAGUAGGGGUUCUGAGAGGAAGGUCCCCCACAUUGGAACUGAGACACGGUCCAAACUCCUACGGGAGGCAGCAGUGAGGAAUAUUGAUCAAUGGGCGAGAGCCUGAACCAGCCAAGUAGCGUGCAGGAAGACGGCCCUAUGGGUUGUAAACUGCUUUUAUGCGGGGAUAAAGUGAGGGACGUGUCCCUCAUUGCAGGUACCGCAUGAAUAAGGACCGGCUAAGUCCGUG
This 491-nucleotide ribosomal RNA is filed under the name uncultured bacterium. RNAcentral's name for it is "partial 16S ribosomal RNA". It matches the Rfam family "Bacterial small subunit ribosomal RNA", at positions 28 to 507 of the family's 1533-position model. The record is from RNAcentral.